UUUUUUUUUUUUCUUGCUAUGACUAUGCUGUCUCACCCACUGUGUCUCCAGAUUUCCAUCUAAACUAUAGUUGUGGUUCUGAACCACAGCAUAUCAUCCUUGCAGGUGCAAACAGAAGCCUAUUUUCCCCAGUCUUUUGAUUUUCAUUGCAAUAAAAACAUCACAUCAGUAGUAUUGCUUCAAGCUCAUGAGCCUCAGCUGGGUCUGCUUUGUAUCCUCAAUGCAUGCUUUCUCCCAGAAAUCUUUUCCUGAGAAGGCCUAGCUGGCAUGGAGAUUCCUCCCAGUUAGGCAUAUACAGCUGGAAGGGGGAGAGGGCAGGGUGUGUGCAGACUGCCUCAGGUAUACACUGUUGGUUGGAUUGGGUGGUGGAGCUGGGGGGAGGUUAGGGAAGCUUAUCACCUGAACCCUCCCCACUUCAUGGUGACUUCCCAUUUGUCACCAUGUCUUCUGUUUAUUUGGUGACUAAAGGAUGAGGCACAGUGAUGCUGGCAGCAUUGUGAGGACUUGGGGACAGCAGAUCAAAGAGUGAAGCAAAUAUAUUUUCCAAUGUAGGAGAUCUAGCCCUCCAAGGACCCUGCUGCUUUCUUAGUUCAAAGGACUUCUGGAUUUUCAGCCUUCAUGCUCCACUCUUCAAGCUCCGCCCAGCCUCCCCAGAAUCCUUUGCUAAGAAUUUCUACUCCAGAUUCUGCAGUACACUUUCAUUUAUUUUCCUGCCUUUGAAUUGUUGGUGGGAUUAGAGCAUCAGAGACCUUGAGUCCAGACCUUGUUAACUGGCUGACCUGACGCAGGGGUUUUACAUUUCUAUGAAAAUUACUGAUUUUUAGAGGAAUCUGGGUAAGGAGGGGGGUAUAUGCCCUUUCAAUAAAGUAUACACUCUUGGGUAUGCUCUAUUUUAAGCAUGUAAUACAAGGGUGACAUAUUUUCUUUAAAAAACAAACAAACAAACAACAAAACCAAACACAAAACCCCUAAACUUCAAAGAAGAGUACUGGCAUAAAAGUGAAAAACGUAGGUAUUAUAACCAGUCAUUUUUUUAGUAGUUUCCAUGAAUAAUUAGUUCCUAGUUAUUGGUACCACGGAUACAAGAAUGAGUAAAGCUCGGCCUCCUCUUUGAAGGAACUAAGUUUAGUAGCACAGAGUUUUCUGUAAGCAGAUGAAUCGCAGUAUCACUCAGUAUGAAGUGGGAGAGAGGUGUAUGCAGAGUGUUGAGGGAGUCUGAGAAGGGAGUGCGUGGGCCGACGGUCACUGGUGUCUACUCAGUGCUCCUCUCCUCUUUGAAUAUUUAUUGUAAGUGGUUAGUGGCUAGAAUAUAUAUAUAUAUAUAUAUAUAUAUUUCCUUUUAAUUAACACUUGAAAAGAUUUCAACUUUGGGAUAUAUUUUAAAAAUACACAUAACACUAAAACUAUUCUUCCUGCAAUUGAAUUAUUUAAAAAAAUACAGAUUGAAGUUAUUUAUAACCACGAUAGCCAUUGCUAGAUGACUGGAGUCAGCACAUGAAGAAAGUCUCAGAGGAAUAAAUGUAUUUUGGUUAUUUACAGAGUGUAAAUUGGGAAAUUCUAAUAGCCCUUCAAAAUCAAAGAGCUGACUGUCUCCUAUACUCUGUUACCUUCUUUUCAACCAAUGUGGCAUUUACCCAAACUUUUCUGUAACCCAUAGCAACUGGGGAUGGGUUGGUUACUCCGGGAAAGUGAAUUUCUGGAGCAUUGGGGUGGAGCCUCUAUUUGCUGGUAGGGUCCAAGGCUGAAAAAGUCCACCCUGGCAGGAAUCCCCCUGGUUAGCUUUUGAGGCUUUCCACCCUUCUGUAGGCAGGAAGAACAUGCAAAUGUGUUUAUGUCUGAACAGCCCAGCCUAGCUGAUACAGUGUUCCUGGUGGUGUUUUCCUGCCAGAGAACCUUCCAUCAAGCUCACUCUUGGUGAACUGCUACAGUUCCUGGUUUGGGGGGCAGGAAAUUGGCGUUGGUGGGCCAAAGCUGAAGAAGCCUAAGAAGGUGUGGUCUUGGUUACCAAAUCAGAAGUUGCGAUAUCCUGAGUCUUAAUUUGAUCAGAGACCCUGACAUUCUCUCUUAUAAAAGGUCUCCGCUUUGAUGUCUCCGGAUACAGAAUUUGGACAAUGUCUUUUGCCUUUUGAAAAUGUACUUACGAUGAUUUUUUUUUGGAUGUUUGAUGAUUUUUCAAAAUGAAAUGUGAUAUAAGUGUCACCAGGCCCAUUUUUCUCCUUUUUCACCAGGAAUGCCCAGAAAUACGUUGUAUAAUGCAGAACUGUUCAACCCCUCACUUUUAAUCCUGCGAUCUGGAACAGCAAAGGCAUUGUUUCAGGAACAUUCUCAGCUAUUAGGUGGUCCAAAUUUCUGCAUUCUUUUCCUGCUUUCUUUGUUUUUUGUUCUAUAUGGUGGUAUGUUCACAGGGCAGAAUUUAUUACCUUGCCUUCAAGUGUCUUGUUAAAUAGUGGGUACUGUUAUUUGCAUGCAAAUGGCUUGCUUUCCACAUUCAAAAAUCUUGAAAAAAAUUUGAAGUUCAGGGUCCAAUUUUUCUAAGUUGCAUGUUCCGCUAACUACCCUGCCAACUUAUUUUCAGUGAGCAGGAUGUAGUAGAUGAGCUAAAGCUUCAAACACAGUAACAAUGAUUUGUAAGUUGGCCGUCGUUUUGGAUAACCCUUGCAGUAACUCUCCCGCUGGUUGAACAGAUUGUGAAAAGAGGAAGAUAAGAAUGUGUUUGGGAACGUCCUUCAACUUUCAUCUUAUUCUCCCACCAGGCCUCCUAGCUGGCAAGUCCUCUGAGCUGUUUUUCUCUUUCCAGCUUAUGGUGUCCAGUUUGCGGCCAGUUGUUGUCCCUGUGAACACUGCAAGAGAUGCAAGCCACCUAGAGCCAGUGUCAAGUACCAACUUGCUUCCACCUCAAUGUCAGGCACUGAGAAACUGCCAUGACAGGGACUGUUUGCCGAUCUCUAAUGGGAAGGAAUAGUUUAUCCUGACCAUUUACAUGAAGUGAAUGUGGGGUACAAAUGACAUCACAUGUUCUCUCUCCCUGUAUUUAAAGUCCAUUACCUGAACCAGCUCUUGUAUUAUUUUCUAGUGUAUUUUCUCCUCCUUCGUUUUCAUCGCUACCAUGUUGUUUGCUACAUACUUAAUAGAAGACACUG
RNAcentral lists this long non-coding RNA (3140 nucleotides) under Canis lupus familiaris (dog). Its description in RNAcentral is "lncRNA (ENSCAFG00845028553.1)". Lineage: Eukaryota; Metazoa; Chordata; Mammalia; Carnivora; Canidae. The record is from RNAcentral.